AUACGUCACUCCGUGGCUAAAACUCUUGGCAUCCUUAUAGGCUGAGAGCUGACCGGGCUUCAGCACGCAGUACAAGCUGUUCCACGACCUGAGAGGACGAGGAGAGGAAGGAAAUGGAGGGACUCGAUCACUUCAGCGCUCCAGGGCAGAGAAGCGCUCUUCCCAGGUGGCGGUGGAUUUCUCAAAGGCCUCGUGUCUCUUGAGGAGUUUCUCCACCUCGUCCACGGUGUAGCCCAGGUCCUGACUGGUCACGUAGGGCUCCUGAGCGACCAGCCAGGCCUCCGCCACUGAGGCGUCCCGCGCAAACUGACACACCUCCAACACUGCGGGCAGUCAAGACGGCAUUGGCGUGCUCACCUGGGUUUCUCCUGAGUCUCUAUCUGCUGGAUGAUGCUGUCCAUCCAGGCCAUCAGGUCUCGCACCAUGGUGAAAAAGCGGAACUUCUCUGCAGUGUCCACCAGUUGUGCCCUGCGGCCGUCGCAAGCGUCCAGCAGGCCCUUCCAGGCCUCCACCACCUCUCGCUCUGUGGCCUUGAUGCUGUCCGCUCUGGGCCCUGCAUACUGGGCAUGGAGACGUGAAGCCGUCUCCUGGAACUGUCGGACCUGGAGGGAGGAGAAUCGAGAGUCAAAUUGUUGACGUGAAUUAAACAUUUUAAUCUCCGAGGAUCGUUUGUCUGGGCUCAUCUUAAAUCAGAAUGAGCGUGAUUUUGUUUAAAAAGUCAAUCAUGGUCCAAUGUGCAUCUUACGUGAUGAGUGAUACACAUGGAAAUUUCUGAAGUGCACAUACAAUUGAGAACAGACUUUACACUAAAGUGAUCUAGAUGUCUGGUAUUUUAACUUUGAAAUAAAUAAUGCAUUCAUAUAUUCUGGUUUUACCACUGAAGGAGAAGGUGAAUCUUUAACUAGGUAAUUUUUAAAUUCUUAAAACAUGCCUUUAGGACUUACAUCAUGAGAUCAUAAGAUGAACUCUCUGAUUAACAAGUAUUUUAACGGCAAGGGAAUAUUUUGUACAUCAUCUGGGCACUGAGGUUAUGACAGUUUGACAGUCCGCAUAAAAAAUUGAUGUGGUUACUAUUCCAAAUGCUUAGCUAACUAUGCUCAUGUUUAAAUUUAACAAACGCAGUAUUUAUUGAUUUUUUUUUAAUUACUUUGGGACAUAUUGGACCCGUGUUGAAUGUCAAUGUCAAUGAAAGUAGAAGAAAAAAUAACUCUAGCUCUCCUUUCGGCUGUUUUUUCUCCAACUCUGAGGAAAAUAUCUGACUCUUUAGCUGCUAAAGCCACUUGGUGUUGGGCAGGUAGUUUUAUUAGAGCUUUUAUACUGAACUACACAAUAAGGUUGUAUUCAAUUCUACAAGAUUGAUUAGAGCAGUAAGAGUGAACCGGAACUUUAAAGCUGUCAAUGGAUGUAUGAGUGUUACACACUAUGCUAUUUAUGUUACUAUGUUAUACUCCUUGUACUUCUUCCUUUAUUUUCUUGUUCUUUCACAAAUUUGUUGCUUUGUUAAUGAUUCUAUAAUUGAGGGCCAUAAAACCAAAACAAUUAGCUGUAAGAUGCUAAAAUGCUCCAUGUAGCUGAGGGGAAAAAGCAAAGUGGGGUGACAGUUCUCUGUGGGUUCAGGAUUGAUUCACAUUCACAUUACAUAUAUCAAUCAGACCUAUUAUUAGUAUUAAAAUAUUGACUGAUGCAGAUUUUUUUUAAAAAAUCUUAUCAUCCCAGAACAAGGGGAUUAAGAGGCUGAUAGUAAGUUUUUACUGGGUUUUCACCCUUUGAGAAAACUUUUCACUGUUCCAUACAUAUGGCAGCACUUUCUGCCUCUAGAUAUGAAUCAUCAAAGUUUGCCUCUUGGCCGCUGCCUGCUGUGUUUACCUCGGAGCAUGCGGGCUGAUCCCGCGUCUUGUACCUGUUUGCCUAGAGUGGUGAUGUCUCUCUCAAAGGCAGCGUGCAUUCUGUGGAAGGAUUCGGCUUUGCUGAAGUCCUCUCCCACAUCUUCAGGCAGCUCUUUUAGCUUCUCGUGGAUCUGAGCCACAAGCUCUUUCCCAUCAUCAAAGUACCUUAAAAAAGGGGGUCAAACUAUCAGUCUCUUUGGCUGUGUGUGUUUUAUCAUCAUAUUUAUCAUUCAGCCGACAGCAAUCAAUGUAAAGGUGUCAUGUUUAGGUUGAAUUCUUUGUGACACUGUUAUUGCACUCAGAUGUGUUCUGAUUUGAUGUCAUUAGUCGCCCCAGACGUCAAUAUCAUUCUAACUUGUCUGGACACGUUAUGCUGCCUUACAGGAUUAGACAUGAAAUCUUAAUGGCAUCAAUCCAGAUAACUGUCCAUUGUUCUGCUCCUGGUCUGGUACAUCAAUACUGUUUUCCUUACUUGAGCAGUUCGUAAGAUGUUGUGAGCAGCUGAGUGCGAGUGUCGAUGAGCUCCAGCAGAUCAGCCCAGCUCUCAUUGAUGCCGUCCUUCCACUCUGCCAUGGUGGCUGCCUCAGUGUGUCCAGAUUCGAUUAGCUCGUCUAUCGUCUGGUUGACCAUGUCCACUCGCUCCUGACCCGCCAUCUCCGUCUCCCGUGCAAACUCUCUAAACUUAUCCCUCAGAAGCUGAAGGGAAAAGAAAGAAAUGUUUUUCAGAUUUUUUUGUAUGGCAUUGUAUUGGAGUAAAUUAAAUUGGUUAUGUAACUAUGAGUCUAUACUAAAUAAAAGUGAGGCAAUGAAACCAAUAAAAUGGAUAAGAAAUACA
Molecule: long non-coding RNA, 2721 nt
Organism: Scatophagus argus
Lineage: Eukaryota; Metazoa; Chordata; Actinopteri; Scatophagidae
Exons: 3
Source: RefSeq, a predicted model, not a curated record